GCCGAAGUGGUGGAAUGGCAGACGCGAUGGACUCAAAAUCCAUUGUUGGCGACAACGUGUGGGUUCAAGUCCCACCUUCGGCACCA
This 86-nucleotide transfer RNA is filed under the name Clostridia bacterium. Its description in RNAcentral is "tRNA-Leu". It matches the Rfam family "tRNA". From Rfam's summary of the family: Transfer RNA (tRNA) molecules are approximately 80 nucleotides in length. The record is from RNAcentral. RNAcentral also lists the same sequence under 1 other name. Lineage: Bacteria; Bacillati; Bacillota; Clostridia.